This 1423-nucleotide long non-coding RNA is filed under the name Felis catus (domestic cat). Its description in RNAcentral is "lncRNA (ENSFCAG00000053009.1)". Lineage: Eukaryota; Metazoa; Chordata; Mammalia; Carnivora; Felidae. The record is from RNAcentral.
GCCGGGGCGGGGGCCAGGCGCAGGCCCUUCGCGACCCGGGAGGCCAGUGCUGUCCAUCGCCUGAGGCCCUGGUGGCAUCCAGAAGGCGCCAGCUCGGGUGAUUCUGGUCACUGCCCUCUCGGGUUGCUGGUGGAGAGACUUGUGUUCAUAAAAUAGCUCGCCCUUCUCUUCCCUACCUACCCAAGUCCUUGUGGCUUUCACUCCCAGGUUCUGCUUCCGACACCCCACCCCGCAGGUCCAUUUACAGACCUCCUCCUUUUUGGUUGGACUGACCUCCAGCAAAGGGUUUGCAAGCCCCCCAACACUGCCACUGGCUGCGGGGAGGCCACAGGACUUAGGGCUACGUCCUCUGGGAGGUGAGUGCUGGGGACCAGAGGGCGGGCGGGGACCUGCAGACUCCGGAGGAGCAACCCCUGGGCCCUCCUCAUCAGCUCUUGGGGGUCCACCCAUCUUCCCAGCACCGCUGACCCAGGCGCCAGGGGCCUCAGCCGUUUCAGGGCUGGAGUUGGCCGUUCUCCGGACCCUGGAAGGAGGGUGAAUUAAGUCCUACGUUUUAUGUAACCAUGCCUGCCUUUCUCCGAGGCUGAAGAACACAGAGACAUUCCAUUUCAGAGAAAAAAGGACCACACAAUGGCCCUCUUUGAGGGGAGGUUAAACAUUCACAUUGGGGAAAAAUAGCUAAUCCUUUACUAGCCCAGCUCACCUAUUUUGCUCUUUAUCUCCAGCCUGUGAGUUAGGAAAGGCAGAUGUCCGUUUUACAGAGGAAGAAACCGAGGCACAGAUGAAUGACCGAUGUGGGCCCACACUCCCAGGACAUCACCCUGUGACAAGGCAGAGGGAAAUGCACCCCCCGAAGCCCCCUCCCACGUGAAGAGACUUGCUCCUCCAGAAAUGCCCCAGGGAACAUCCACUGAUCUAGGGCUGACUGGAACACAGCACCACACCGUUGGAGACCGUAUGGAAGAAACCGUGGAAACGUGUCAGUGAUUGAGUGAGUUCAGGCAAUGCCAGCGGCUACAACAAACGAGCCCUGAGAUAUGGAAUCGCUUCCACGCGCAGGAAGUUCGUUUCUCACUCCCAGGCCAGGGUGGGUGUUAGCGGCCGGCAGGCCACUCUGCUCCAAGUGAGGACUCGGGGACACAGGCUCUUUCCAUGCACGCGGGCCCACCACGUUGGCCCUGUGCUUCCAGGGUGUCUGGGUUCCUGCCCGAGGACGGGAGGGGGCGUGGAGAAGCCCGUGCAGAACCCCUUGGGUGGUUUUUCUGGUUCAGGCCCGGAGCUGGCUCACAACACGUGCACUCACAUUCUGUUGGUUAGAGAGGGUUUCUCAGGCUUUCCAGCUGAUGAGGGUCUGUCCUGAGCGGAACGUUCCCUGGCCUCUGCUCCCUCCUCCAGUUGUGACAACCAUUGCUCAGAGGCCUCG